GUGAAUCAUCGAAUCUUUGAACGCACCUUGCGCUCCUUGGUAUUCCUCGGAGCAUGCCUGUUUGAGUAUCAUGAAAUUAUCAAAAUAAAUCUUUUGUUCACUCGAUUGAUUUUAUUUUGACUUGGGGGUCUGCAGAUUCACGUCUGCUCCCCUUGAAUGCAUUAGCUGGAUCACUGUAGACUCGGUUCCACUCGGCGUGAUAAGUAUCACUCGCUGAGGACACUCUGUAAAAGGAGUGGCCGGGAUUACUAGAGAACCGCUUCCAAUAGUCCAUUUGCUUGGACAAUUACAUUUAUGAUCUGAUCUCAAAUCAGGUAGGACUACCCGCUGAACUUAA
RNAcentral lists this ribosomal RNA (337 nucleotides) under uncultured fungus. RNAcentral's name for it is "eukaryotic LSU rRNA". The stretch from base 1 to 71 matches the Rfam family "5.8S ribosomal RNA", at positions 84 to 154 of the family's 154-position model. Lineage: Eukaryota; Fungi. The record is from RNAcentral.